This 702-nucleotide ribosomal RNA is filed under the name uncultured bacterium. Its description in RNAcentral is "bacterial SSU rRNA". It matches the Rfam family "Bacterial small subunit ribosomal RNA", at positions 79 to 776 of the family's 1533-position model. The record is from RNAcentral.
CUUGCUUCUCUUGAGAGCGGCGGACGGGUGAGUAAUGCCUAGGAAUCUGCCUGGUAGUGGGGGAUAACGUUCGGAAACGGACGCUAAUACCGCAUACGUCCUACGGGAGAAAGCAGGGGACCUUCGGGCCUUGCGCUAUCAGAUGAGCCUAGGUCGGAUUAGCUAGUUGGUGGGGUAAUGGCUCACCAAGGCUACGAUCCGUAACUGGUCUGAGAGGAUGAUCAGUCACACUGGAACUGAGACACGGUCCAGACUCCUACGGGAGGCAGCAGUGGGGAAUAUUGGACAAUGGGCGAAAGCCUGAUCCAGCCAUGCCGCGUGUGUGAAGAAGGUCUUCGGAUUGUAAAGCACUUUAAGUUGGGAGGAAGGGUUGUAGAUUAAUACUCUGCAAUUUUGACGUUACCGACAGAAUAAGCACCGGCUAACUCUGUGCCAGCAGCCGCGGUAAUACAGAGGGUGCAAGCGUUAAUCGGAAUUACUGGGCGUAAAGCGCGCGUAGGUGGUUUGUUAAGUUGGAUGUGAAAUCCCCGGGCUCAACCUGGGAACUGCAUUCAAAACUGACUGACUAGAGUAUGGUAGAGGGGUGGUGGAAUUUCCUGUGUAGCGGUGAAAUGCGUAGAUAUAGGAAGGAACACCAGUGGCGAAGGCGACCACCUGGACUAAUACUGACACUGAGGUGCGAAAGCGUGGGGAGCAAACAGG